CUUCCAGUUAUCUCAGGAGCAGCAGUCUAAGCCUCCCCCGCCUGCCUCAGCCUUGAUCCAGAAGCAACGUGCACUGGAAGUGACACAGCUUAGAUGAAGGUCGUGUUCCAGGCCUCUGCUGAGUUUGCCAGUUAGUGCAGCCAAAAACUGAGUAUUUAAUGGGGAAGCUGGAGCACCAAACUCAUGUCCCAGAAGGGUGUGCAGACAUGCACUCAUGGGGAGCAAAUUUUAAUCCCCGCAGAGCCAGGCUAGACUCUGGACAAGGACAUGCCAUCCAGUGGUUCAACAGCUCACUAAGGUAUCCAAAGGCAUGUAGGCGUAGAAGAAAGCACUGGUGUUACAACACCAGAAAUUAAAGAUGCUUUUUGGAGAAGCUUGUUAACAAUCUGCCCAUUCUGGCAGUGGAUCUGCAGGUAUAAGGCAAAUGCUCUACACACAGGUGUUCCAUGUUUUUAAAAAGAUCAGAUUCCAUUAAGAACAUCUACUAAACACAGCAGCCAUAACACAGGCAGCAAUAUAUUUUCUACGCUAAUCUCUGAACAACAUUCAAGCCAUUUCAGCAACAUUCUUCAUGCUAAUUUUCCCUUUUCUCCUCUUCUUGGUUAUGAGUCAGCGGCUAGGCUUGAAACCCCUAACCUUCAUCGCUGAGGAAUGAUGUAGACCUCACUCUGGCAAGGCCUUAAUCAUCUGUUAAAGAACAGAAAAGAGACAGUCAAGCACUGAGUUUCCCAUAACUCCCGUUUUAUCCCCGGCUCAUAUAACCCACUGUCAUCUGUCAGUGAGGAGUUUCAUGCAAGGAUUUCUGUGGUGGGCAGGCUGUUGUCUUUGUGAUCACGUCACAUCGGGGCUUCAUAAUCAUCUCGUGAAUGAUGAAUGCACCCAGAUCUGUCUCUUCUUCUGUCAUUUCUAACCAGCAAAUCUCUGUGUGUAAAAGACAUUCCUGUUAGCAGGAGCAAAGAACAGGACCUCGCACUUCUCUGCUUCAGACUCCCUGACAUGCUUACUCUGAAGUUGAUGGAUAUGCUGCAAAUCUUUGCUCUCAAAACUGCUGCUUCCCUAGAUGGCUUUGAAAAAAAACAACCCACAAAUAUCAAGCAUCAUCCUUCUUAUUGAGAAAUGACACAAGGCAGCUGUAAAGACCCAGAGGUGUUUUAGCAGCACUGUGGUGAGCACUGAAGGUGGUGUGAGGAAUGCAUCACCCGAGCACCCACCCCUCUGCUCUCCUGGUGAGCCGAAAGCCACAGUUUAGGCUAUCACAGGGGCAAGUUUCUCAAAAAUGGGGGGGCUGAGAAGUGACCAGCUUCUGAAAGAGAACAAAAAUCCCCUGAAACUCAUCACAGAUUCUCCGACUGCAAAGAAACAUGCAGACACCUAAGCC
Molecule: long non-coding RNA, 1378 nt
Filed under: Taeniopygia guttata (zebra finch)
Lineage: Eukaryota; Metazoa; Chordata; Aves; Passeriformes; Estrildidae
Description: lncRNA (ENSTGUG00000029189.1)
Source: RNAcentral